ACUCCUACGGGAGGCAGCAGUGAGGAAUAUUGCACAAUGGAGGAAACUCUGAUGCAGCAACGCCGCGUGGAGGAUGACGCAUUUCGGUGUGUAAACUCCUUUUAUGAGUCAAGAAAAUGACGGUAGCUCAUGAAUAAGCACCGGCUAACUCCGUGCCAGCAGCCGCGGUAAUACGGAGGGUGCAAGCGUUAUUCGGAAUCACUGGGCGUAAAGGACGCGUAGGCGGGAAGCCAAGUCUGAUGUGAAAUCCUAUGGCUUAACCAUAGAACUGCAUUGGAAACUGGUUACCUAGAGUAUGGGAGGGGGAGAUGGAAUUAGUGGUGUAGGGGUAAAAUCCGUAGAUAUCACUAGGAAUACCGAAAGCGAAGGCGAUCUCCUGGAACAAUACUGACGCUAAGGCGUGAAAGCGUGGGGAGCAAACGGGAUUAGAUACCCCAGUAGUCC
This 444-nucleotide ribosomal RNA is filed under the name uncultured bacterium. RNAcentral describes it as "bacterial SSU rRNA". It matches the Rfam family "Bacterial small subunit ribosomal RNA", at positions 335 to 796 of the family's 1533-position model. The record is from RNAcentral.